AGCACCAUGACACAGUCUUCAGAUGGCCUUUGGCAAAACAAUGAGACUGUAAGCAUAUUCCUCCCUGUUUUAUUAGUCAGGCUCACUUGUCUGUCUUCCUGGAAGCAAACUUGCAUCUAAAGACUAGUUCUGUAAGAGUAGCCAUAGAUUGAAUUUUUUCUCCUUAAAAAAAGUUGGAGAGAAGGAAGAAAAGAAUUGGAAUCUUAAAUAGGAUGCUUUAAGUUGAAUAGUUCAUUGAGGUGUGUCAGUUUGUUAGGUGAUAUUUUACUAAAUAACGUAUAUGCAUGCACGCAUACACACACCACUCAAACUUAGCUGUGGUCAAAAAUUAGGACAAAAAGCAAUGAACUAAUUCAAGGAAAGCAUGUUAAUAUACCAUGAAGGGUUUUAUUUGGGAUGGAAUGGAGCAGAGGCCCUCCCAAACAGAAACACAAAGUAAGCAAGAGUCCUGCCCAAGGACAGACCCACUAAUGUCCUUUUCUCACACAGGGACCAUUCUAUGUGGAAAUUCUUAAGCCUCUGUGAAUUUUUUUUUCUGCACAUAUCUCUUCUCAUAUGAUGACUUAUUAAAGGUAUUAAGGUCUUAAUUUUGAUUCUGUAGGGUAUUCUCAUACUUUUUCUGCAGUGAGCACAAGAAAAAUCAGAGGAGCCCUAGUCUCAUGAUACUUAUCAGGGUUUUUUGUCUUUCCAAAGAAGUUAGACAAACUUAUCAAUCAGGUCUUUUCUUUUGCCUCCUGAAACAGCCUUUGUUUUAGUAUGUGCAAGUAGUUCAGAGGCAACAAAUAGAGUCUGAGGGCAGAGAAUAGUCCUUCUGAUAGUGAAUUGUGAGAAAGGACACACACAGUCAUUGAAAGAGAACUUCCAAAAACUCUGGCAUGGUGGAAUUGUUUAUUGUGGGACCAAAUGAUCUCAUGCUGUAUACCUUAGUGACAAUAAGACUACAUAGCAGCUUGGAAGGCCGAGGCAGGAGGAUUGCAAGUUCAAAGCCAGCCUCAGCAAAAAGCGAGGUGCUAAAACUCAGUGAGACCCUGUCUCUAAAUAAAAUACAAAAUAGAGCUGGGGAUGUGGCUCAGUGGUUGAGUGUCCCUGAGUUCAAUCCCCAGUAUGCCCUGCCAAAAAAAAAAAAAAAAAAAGACUACAUAGGAGUGAUAUUUUAGAAAUUAUCUUACACCACCAGGCCCUGAUUGGUCUGAUGAAGGUAGAUAGAAUCUGUAGGUAUUGGAGCGAUAUCAGAACUACCAUUAUAUGAAUAUUUAUUGUGUUGCUAAACGAUCAGACUUAUAGCUAUUAUUAAAAAACAAAACAUUGAAUGAUGAGUGACCUUAGUUAUGUGCAGAACGGGUAUAUAUAGCAGCAAGUAGAGGCAAUUUAGAAGCAUGUUCAAGAUCAACAGUAGCAAAAAUGUGCUUUUUUUUUUGUGCUUUGAAUAAACAUGUCAAGAUCUAGAUAUCUAGCCAAAACAUACAGAUUCUAUCUAUAUUCAUCAGACUGAUCAGUGCCUGUGCUGUGUAAGAUAACUUUUAUAUAUAUAAUUAUAUAUGCAAUUUAGUAAUUUUUCCUGUUCAGAAAAGACCCUGGAGAGACAAAACUUGAAAAGAAUCCAUAAAGCAAACUGGUAAUAGUACUUGUUUCUCGAUAUUAGAUAUUGGUUGAGUUUAAUUUCCUUUUUUAUGCUUAGCUGAGUAUUCUAAAAUAAACAUGCAAUAUUUAUGUCAUAUAAUCAAAAAACGAAAGCAAAGCCUGCUUCCUUGACCUCCAUUCUCCAACUGCCUAUCCCUUUUCCUCCUCAUAACAGCAUAUUCUUUCCCUCCCAUAUAUUUUCUAGGUCCCUUCUAAGCCAUGAUGACCCAGUUACUUUCCUCUAUAUUCUUUAUAGGGUUCACCAAGAAAUACCUAAUAGCACCUUACCCAAGAACCCUAUUAAAUAUGCAAAAAGCAAAAAUUCCAUGAGACAGAGAUUUAUGGCAAAAAAAGAGACUUUUUGUAAGUAAAUAGUAACAGCUGUGAACUUACUAUAAACUCUAUUAUAUAUGCAAACAGAGGUUCAAAGAGGCUAAAUAACUUGUCCACAGCAACUAAGUAGAAGAGUAGGGAUUCUACUUCAGAGGUUAACCUCUUAUAUGGGAAAACACUUGAUCUGUUUCUCUGAUCCUUCACUUUCACUAUCCAAUGGACUCCCCUUGGAAUUAGAGAGAAACUAUCGUGCCUAACAUGAUAACCUGGUAUGUUUCAGGGUUCUUUCAGGAUGUAGCAUCCCCUUAUGAUCUGCACUAGGAGAUUUAAACACAAUUCUACAAUUCCACCCAAUUCCACCUGAUUACUAAAGUGUUACUCAGGGUCAUGUUUGUGAGCAGGGCUACUUUCCAAGUCUUUAUCAUAACACAGAAUCUUGAAUUAUAUUUAAAAAAAAUACAGACUACAGUAAAGGAUCGAAUUCAAAAAUGAAGCACGUCGUAUAUCAGAUCAAGUCAACUUAUAUAUGAACAAAACUGUUUAUUUUCUUUCUUAUAUCAUAGGACCAUGCAUUUAUGAAAAUAGCCUAUUGACUUUUGAAACAUACAUAAUUUGCAUGCAUUAUACACAAACCUGCUUUAAGCAAACAGUUUGAAUGUUGACAAAGGUUUCUGUUGUCCUAAAGCACAUUUUGAAUUUCAGGUCAUCACAGAAUUUCACUGAAAUUCUUUGGUCUUGUCUCAAUUUCUAGAAGUUGUGUCUGGUGCCGAUGGAUGGGGGGUGGCAACAUAUGCAAACAACUGCCUUCUAUUCAUCAUUCUCAGGGAGACUCUUUCAGUCUGCUGCUGUUUCCUUAGCAGGUCUUCCCAGCACAAAGCCCAGGGAUGACCAAUGGCGGACUCUACGUCGGAAUCACAAUUUCCACCUUGGUGUUGCUUGCUGUUUCGAUUGUCAUAAUUAUUAAAAGUAAGUCAUUUCCAGGUUGUUCCCAAUGACUAGAGCAAGGGUUCUACAGACACUGUCUGCACUUAAGUGACUCCAUGGGGCAUGUGAUUGGAAUCACAUGACUUCCCUGAGUCCCCAAAUGCUCAUCUGUAAAACACACGUGGUAGUGCCUCUUCCUCAAGGGUUGUGCUGGGAAUGAUUUCUGGCAUAUGGUAAGUCCACGGCUGUUACUAUUUACUUAGAAAAUAUCUUUUUUUUUUUUUUUGCCAUAAAUCUCUGUAAAUCUCAUGGAGCUAACAUUUUAGUGGAAGUUUUGCUUCAUAUCAUUGUUUCUUAACUUUGUUCUUUGUUUUUAAAUUAUUGGUUCCCUGAAGAGAAAAAUUCAAUAUCAGUUCUCCAUAAAAGCAAUUAAAUACUAAGAAAUAAGAGUUGCCAGGUGUGGUGGUGUACGCCUGUAAUCCCAAUGGCUAUGGAGGCUGAAACAGAAGGAUUGAAAAUUUGAGGCCAGCCUCAGCAACCUAGCAAGGCCCGACGCAACUUAGUGAGACCCUAUCUCAAAAUAAAAUAAGUAAAUAAAAAGGGCUGGGGAUAUUGCUAAGUGGUUAAGCAUCCCUGGGUUAAAUCCCCAGUACCAAAAAAGAAGAAAGAAAGAAAGAAAAAAACAAAACAGAAAUAAGAAUGUGCUGCAUAGAUUUGAGAUUUGGAGGUGACAGGCCAUUGUAACACACACAGUGUCCUCUCUCCUCCCCUCAAGAUAUGUUUUUUUGUCCCCGUGGGGUGAUAUUGUUGAUGACACCAGAAUACUUAUUUAGUACAUGAAGCAUGGAGGGGGAACUAUUUGCAGAAUAGGAUUAGAACAAAGGUCUUCAAGAAGCAGCCACCCAGGGCUUCAUGCCCCUUUUGUGAGGUGUGUGUGUGUGUGUGUGUGUGUGUCUGCUGUGUUUCUCUCAAUGUAAACUGCCCCUCAUGAAAGAAUCUCAGUCAUCUAUUUUGUACAACAUUAUCCAUGAACUCAUUACCAAUCUACUCCAUGGGUCUGGGCAGAAAACUGAAAACUGAUUAUACUUGUUAAAUUUAAGGAAAUUUCUACCUGAUAAUUUAGAACUUGGUUAGCCAAAAUGAUUAUUUGGAAAUUGGGUAAAAUACCUUAAAUAUGUUCCCCUCUUUAACAAAAACAGUUACUUAUUCUCUCUUAAGGAGAUGGAUUACUGGGAGUAUAAAAUUUGAAAAAAGUCUCUGAUAAGAGGUGACCUCUUGGAUGGGAUCUUAUGUCCUAGGUAGCCUAGGACAAACCUGGUUUAUGCCUGUUUUCUAGUAGCUUAUUAAAAAAGUCACGGGCUUUUUCAGUUUUUUAAAUUAAAAAAUAAUUUUUUUUUUUUUUGGUACUGAGGACUGAACCCAGAGGUGCUUAAGCACUGAGCCACAUCCCCAGCCUUUUUCAUUUUUUAUUUUGAUAGAGGGUCUUGCUAAGUUGCUGAGGACCUCAUUAAGUUUCUGAGGCUGGCCUGGAACUUGUGGUCCCUCUGACUCAGUCUCCUGAGCCAGGUGUACACCAUCAUGCCUGGCUCAUUUUUUUAAAUGAAAGAUAAUUUAGUAAUUCCCAUUAUAGCAAGUCAGGAUAUGUGGGUGAACAUCCCAGACAUUACUGAAAAUGAGACACUGAGCAAUAAAGAGUGUGCCUGGGUCCUGUAGACUCGAGUGGGGACACAGGAAGGAAUUGUUGAAGUCACGGGGGAAGGGCUCAAGUCACAACAAAAUAAUAGACUUGAUUGCAAGAAGAUAUCAUGGACUCUUUUACUAAAAUGUUCAACCCAUCUUCCUUCCCUAUUUAGAGUAUUUCUUAUUCAGAAAGAAGAUGCAGCCACUAAGGUAAGCUUGAAAGGUUUGGGGUAGAUAUCUUUUGAUGUCCUUACUGGAGUGAAAAAUAAAGAGAAAUUCCUCUCCACUCUUCUCCUAAACUACCCAUUCAACACCUUGGAUCCUGAAAUUCUAGUUUAGUGACACCUCUGUUGUUAUCCAUACCUUGCAGUGACAUUUUUGGCUUUCUGUAUUUCCGUACAGUUGUGGCAGAACCUGUGCAGAAGGGGCACCUCAAUCCUACGCUCUUAGGUGAAAAGAAAUGAAUUGCUUGACAGAGCUGUAUAUUGAAGGAAUUGUAUUGAUUCACUCUUACACUUUAUUCAACCUUUUAUUUUAUUGAGCAUUGAUUGAGCACCUAUUAUAUUACAAGUUGAUGAACAAAACAGAGAAAAAUAAAAAAUAAAUAAACAAGGCCCUUUUCAUGCCUGCAGACAAACACCAAGGAUAACAGAGCAGGGAGAUGAACUUUUGAUUGAGCCCAAGGGAGCAGAUGAUUUGGAGGAGGAUAAUUCCUGGCUGAAGGGGCAAGAUGGGCAAAGGCUCUGACCACAGCUCCCCCCACAUGCAGCCUGCUCCACUCCUUUACCCCUGAGGGCACUGAAGUUUACUCUAUUUGUGAAGCUCUUUCUGUCUGUCCUGCCUGCUGCCCAGUUAAAGCUUAGAUCCCCUCUAGUGCAUCUGUGGCGGGCAGUCCCCUGCUCCCAGUGAAGCCAACUAGGCCUGCUUCAUUCCCUUCAGCAUGGCUCUGAGCAAGGACAUUCUUUGACUCAGUAUCCAUGCCUCUUGGGCUGCCCUCCAUUAUUCCUAGUUCUCCUUCAUCGGAGGCUUACACAGACUCACCGGUGUCUGAGUUAAUGACAUGGCAAUCCCUAGACCGUGCCUUGGACAGGGUCCAGCACAUUGCGAAGGACACGCUGGCUUUUAUUAUUUCAAUCAUGCCCUUCACCACCAUAAACCUAAGAGGUAGGCAGUAUUAUUAGCCUCAUUUUACAGAUUAGAGAAACAGGUUCAGAAAUAUGGAGGGACAUCCAAGGUCACACUACACAGUACAUAAAGGACUCAAUCUCAGGGACCCAGGCUCAUAAAUAGUUUUCACCAACUGCUUCAAAAAAGGAAAAGGAAAUGCUUCUUAUUGGUGAAAGGUCAUGGAACAUUGUAUCCUUUUAGCUAUUUGUUUUCUAUUCUUAAGAAUAUUCUACAGUUAUCUUUUUUUAAGAGGUUCACUUUUUGCAUUAAAUCAUAAAGAAAAAACAUUAUAUAAAAUGUAAAAUAUAAAAAAGUACAUAUUUUAAUGUGAGAUUUCCUCAUGACAUUUUCUUUUUGGUGUUUAUAUCACACUGACUCAUUUGAGCUUAUUGACACCUAAACUGUUUUCAUAGAUCUAUAACUAAGCCAUUUUAAGGACCAUAGAGAGGUUUUAUCUCAUUUUUUAAAAAUUAAUUGAAUUUUUUUGCAGGGUUGGGGAUGAAACCUAGGGUCUUGCACAUGCUAGGUGAGCCCUCUACCACUGAGCUAUACCCCACGCCUUCUAAUGUUGCCUUAAAUAUAUCAGUGGGGGCUUGUUCUUCAUCUGGGGAUGAAUGAAGAUUCAGGUUCCACAUUUUCAGUAGUAGAAACUGUCACUAUAUACAAAUUACAAAAUGCCAGCCAUAUCAAACCCCUCACAGGUGUUAAAUCUGUUUCUUCCCUGGUUUGUACCUCCUUGAUUCCUAUGAGACUCAAACAUCCAUCCACUGUGGGUACCCCACAUAACAGGAGGUACAGAGUAGACUCUCCAAGUAGUCCUACUAAAGCAUCUCCUGGCACUCAUGUGAAAGGCAGGCACAUGGAAUACCAGCAGUUCUCUCCAAAAAAUUACAGCCUUCCUCUCCAUUGUCUGCCCUUUUGUGCACUUGGUGUGUGUGAGCAUAUGCGUGAUAAAAGCAAUCAACCCCUGAUUUUGAAAUUUGAUCAUCAAUCACAGUAAGGUUUUCUGACACCAUGAUCUGGUACACAUUAGUAAAACAGUACUAUUCCAUUACAUCCAAGACUUUUCUAUAUCUUCCAGGGUAUAGAUCACUAAGCAGUUAAAUAGCCUUUUACAGAAGGUCACAAUCCACAGUUGUAAACACACCAGUCAACCAGUUCUUAGCCACAUUAAAAAAUUAUGCAUCUUUAUUUAGUAACUCAGUUCCGUGUCAGAUAUCUGUCUUUUUACCUUUCCCAUUAUUGUAUUCUAUUAUAUGAUACCCUGAAGGACACCAGUAUAUAUAUUUUUUAAAUAGUUCUUAGGUUGUUUAUAUACUCUCCUGUAGCUUAAUCUUCAGGGCAACACUUUCUCAUUUCCAGAAGGUACAAUUCGUUUUAUAGUUUUUGUGAACGGGGCUCUUAGAUUCUCAAAUAUCCAGUCUUGCUGGAUCAUAAAUACAAGUGCUGCUCCUUCCUUAGAAGUGAUCUUCUUUUUCUUUACUCAUGUUAUUCUUCAACACUUUCUGCAGCAUGGCUUCAUUGACUGGUCCUCAAAUUGGAGUCCUGCAAAGUGAAGCAAAUGCACGAGCCCGAGCAGAAGACAACGUGUACAUCAUUGAGGAUAAUCUUUAUGUCAUGGAAUAAGACCCAGGGGCACACUUGGGGUUUUAAGUCCAUGUCUGCAGAAGGUAGUGACCGGAUAUCACCAUGUCUGCCUCCUUUUAAACUCCAGGAUCACUUUUCUCCAUCAUUUCUCCUGGCAUUCCAACAAGUCAGCCACAUCAGAUAGAGUGACUCUCUAGCUCAAAGCUCUGUACAAACUCAUUAACAGCAUUCUAAUUUUUAUACUAAAACUAGCUCAGUUUUUCCAGGCAUUGUAGAACAUUCUUUCACCCAUGAACAGUUUAGAAUUCUGUAUUUUCUUUAGAAACCCACCCCCCCCAAUCAUUCUUAUAUCCAUUAAAAAAUUGAUUAGUGAUACAGGAAGGGAAAUUUGUCCAAAACUGUCAGGAAAAAAAAAAAAAGAGAGGAACAGUUUUUAAGAAUAAAAAAAAAAAAUCAACUGAAGACUUCCUUUGGAAGCCUUUCAUGAUUACCUCUUAUUGUUAUAUUGUAACUCCAAAUGUUACCUUUCUUAUGUUUCCUAAGUUCAAUUCAUAAGGGACUGCAGGUUUUUAUUUCCCCCAUGGGGACAUAGAAAUGGGUGUAAUUUCACUACCUUAGGAAUAUAUGUUUUCUCCUGGCUCUGGAAAUGUUAUGAAUGAAUGGACUGAUCUGUGGAUCAGGAUGGAUAUUUUAGCCACGAAGACCUGCAGUAGGAAGUGUGGACCAAGUAGACUCCAGGGGAAGAAAACUAUUUACCUUGGGGUUCCGUACAUUUAUGCUACUUCUACUUGCACUUGUGCCAUGGUGCUAGGCAAAUUUUUUCCCUCCCUCCUUCCCUCUCUUCUUUCCUUCCUUCCUUCCUUCCUUCCUUCCUUCCUUCCUUCCUUCUUUUAUUUCUGGUAUUCGAAUUGAACCCUGGGGUGCUUUGUCACUGAGCCACACCCCUAGCUAUUUUUAUUUUAUUUUUUUACUUUGAGACAGGGUCUUGCUGAAUUGCUCAGGGCCUGUCUAAGUUGUUGGGGUUGGUUUUGAACUUGUGAUCCUCCUGCCUCAGCCUCCUCAGUCACUGGGAUUAUUGGCCUGUGCCACUGCUCCCAGCUGAUGCUAGUCAUUUUUGUAGACAACCAACAGGCUCUCUGAACUAAUUUUCAGAAUGAGGAGGGUCAGAAAUGAAGGGGAAAAAUGAGGGAGUAGGAAAAAGGACUGUCUGCCUUCUCUACUGCAAGUCUAAUAAUGCUUAAAAUUAUCAUUAGUGUCUUCUAAAAUUCUAUAUUUCUAAUUGAUUUCCAGACCACUUUCAUAUUUAAAGUUAUUUCAGAAAGCUGAAAGUUGUAGGGUCUUUUUCUUCUCUAAUUAAUUCCAAGGUCUUUUUUCUUUUUCUGGUAGUUCCAUGACACUUUGGUUUUGCCAAGAGUUAAAGAGAGGUGUAUUAUAAGGAAUCUUCAGUCUUCAGUCACUCAUGUGAUUAUUUAGAAAUUUAAAUGUGCAAGAGCUGGUAUUGUCAGAAAAAAAUUUCCAUAUGAACACUUAAUAGGGUUGGGUAGUAAUUUCAAUUUCAAUUUGAGUGAACCAUGAAAUCAUGGCAUGGGUUCAGAGCUACUCAUGCCAUAGUGGUCUGGGAGCGUGCUGUCAAAGACCACAUUUUCACACUGUUCUGCAGAGUUCUAGGAAAUCACGAGGUCUUCUGAGUGAGGGUUCUGUGGGCAAAUGAGAUCUGUAUACAUUCUAUUCUGGGUUUGCCAGAUGGAGUCAGCCUGGUAAAGUCUAAAAAUGUAUUAUGUUCCAACUAGAGUGUAUUCUUUCUUGCCUCAGAUUCUUUUUCUUGAAUCUGAGGCAACAUGCAUUAAUUUGUGGCUUUGAAAUAAAAAUCUAGAUUUGCAGUAUCAUUGGGAAAGCUUGUCAAGUAGACAGUACUCUUUUGGUUUUGUUUAUUUUGUUUUGUUUGCACAUGCUGGGGAUGGAACCCAGGUCCUCCAGUCUGGGCUGCAUGCUUAAGUGGUCCAGGGGUCCCUUAGCUGGGGCUCUACCCUCAGGGUGCUGCUCUCUGGCCCACUCACUUUUGAUUCUUGCCUGUUUUCUGUAGGGCUUUGAGUUUAUGAUGUCUGCUCUAGUCUCCACAUUGUUCCUGGAGAUUUAUUAUCCACGCUAAAAGAUCUGGGAAUCUAGUGUACUGUUUAAUCUUGCAUUUCCAAAACUUGUUUGAACACACAAGCUCAGUAUCUAGUAGAAUUGUGUGAAACAAAUUACAUGGGAAGUGAGUGGAAGCCCAUCAGUACACAGGAUUAAGAAUAAGACUUGAUUUUUAAUCUUUUUAUCAGUGACACUAGAUGACAUUAGGAUAACUUGUUCUUUAUGCUCAGCUUUUUCACCUAUUAGGUAUAAUCUUCUCCAUACCUAACUUGGUGUUUAGUGGUAAUUCUAAUGUAAUGUUACUUGUAAGAAAUCUUUGAAGCUGGGUGUGGUUGUGCAUGCCUGUAAUCCCAGCAUCUUGGGAGGCUGAGGCAGGAGGACCUUGAGUUCAAAGCUAGCCUCAGCAAUUUAUCGAGGACUUAAGCAACUCAGUGAGACCCUGUUUCUAAUAAAAUAUUAAAAAAAAAGGGUUGGGAAUAUAGCUCAGUGGGUUAACUGCCCCUAGGUUCAAUUCCCAGUAGCAAAAACGGGGGUGGGGAGAAGUCUUUGAAAAGGCAAAAACACUAAAGAAUGCAUAAUUUUCUCCUAGUAGAUUUUGUAGUAAUAGCAGGGCUAGCAUGCAUGCUUGGUAAUUAUAAUAUAUUACAUUCAUAAAUCUCUUGUUCUAUGAUAUCUCUUUAAAAAACAAUGUUUCUUUUUGAAACAGUUAAUGUUGAAUAGUUUAAUUAUUACCUUAUACUACAGAAAAAAAUUGUCAAUAACUGGGAUGGAGGAUGGUAACAAAGAAGAAAGGGGAGAGAUUUCAUUAUUAUGACUUUUUUUCUGUAAAUAUAUCAACCUUAUAGAUCAUCUUGAAUUUUGUUUUUAUCCUUCAAGAUACAAUUGAGGUUCCAUUACCUAUAAUCUGUCCUGAAGGAAGAGGAUGUGGCUAUGAUUAAGACUGUGUAUUCAAACUUAGGAACAUUUGCAUAUCUUUAAGAAAUAGCAUAAACGUUCAUUCACUGAUAGCUGUAAAGAUAGGGUGAUUCUGUGAGCGCAUGAAAGCAAUGAAAGCAGGGGACUCCUCGUGGUUGUAUGUGCAUUUGUUAAUAAAUAAGAUUUGUUUGCUCUUUUUGAAAA
This 10560-nucleotide long non-coding RNA is filed under the name Marmota monax (woodchuck). Lineage: Eukaryota; Metazoa; Chordata; Mammalia; Rodentia; Sciuridae. The record is from RNAcentral.